RNAcentral lists this ribosomal RNA (253 nucleotides) under uncultured bacterium. Its description in RNAcentral is "partial 16S ribosomal RNA". It matches the Rfam family "Bacterial small subunit ribosomal RNA", at positions 524 to 776 of the family's 1533-position model. The record is from RNAcentral.
UACGUAGGGCGCAAGCGUUGUCCGGAAUUAUUGGGCGUAAAGAGCUCGUAGGCGGCUUGUCACGUCGGGUGUGAAAGCCCGGGGCUUAACCCCGGGUCUGCAUUCGAUACGGGCAGGCUGGAGGUAUGCAGGGGAGAACGGAAUUCCUGGUGUAGCGGUGAAAUGCGCAGAUAUCAGGAGGAACACCGGUGGCGAAGGCGGUUCUCUGGGCCGUAACUGACGCUGAGGAGCGAAAGCGUGGGGAGCGAACAGG